This 721-nucleotide ribosomal RNA is filed under the name uncultured bacterium. RNAcentral describes it as "bacterial SSU rRNA". It matches the Rfam family "Bacterial small subunit ribosomal RNA", at positions 617 to 1315 of the family's 1533-position model. The record is from RNAcentral.
CGGUUAGCCUUGCGAACUGCAGGACUUGGGUGGAUGAGAGGAAAGUGGAAUUCCUAGUGUAGCGGUGAAAUGCGUAAAUCUUAGGAGGAACAUCAGUGGGGAAGGCGACUUUCUGGACUGAAACUGACACUGAUGUACUAAAGCGUGGGUAGUGAACAGGAUUAGAUACCCUGGUAGUCCACGCCGUAAACGAUGAGCACUAGGUGUCGGGGUCGCAAGGCUUCGGUGCCGCAUUUAACGCAUUAAGUGCUCCGCCUGGGGAGUACGCACGACAAGUGUGAAACUCAAAGGAAUUGACGGGGACCCGCACAAGCAGCGGAGCAUGUGGUUUAAUUCCAAGCAACGCCAAGAACCUUACCAGGUCUUGACAUCCAGUAAAGCCUGUAUAGAUACAGAGUCCCUUCCGGGGUACUGAUACAGGUGGUGCAUGGUUGUCGUCAGCUCGUGUCGUGAGAUGUUGGGGUUAAGUCCCGCAUCGAGCGCAACCCUUGCCUAUAGUUACUAAUCGCCUGAAGGCAUAGGACUUCUAUUGUGACUGCCGGAGCACAACUCGUAUGGAAAGGUGGGGUCGACGUCAUAUCAUCAUGCCCCGUUAUGACCUGGGUCUUCCACAUCGUGCUACGAUCGCCCAGAAACUAAGUAGGCUCCGAAGUCCAGUUAGGAAGUAGCAGAUCUCGACAUACUCGGUCUCAGUUCUGGAUUGGUGAGUCUAGCAACCUCU